UACGGAGGGGGCCAGCGUUGUUCGGAAUCAUUGGGCGUAAAGAGCGCGCAGGCGGUUGGGUAAGUCAGACGUGGAAGCCCCAGGCUUAACCUGGGAAUUGCGUUUGAUACUGCCCGGCUCGAGUUCGGGAGAGGGUGGCGGAAUUCCCAGUGUAGAGGUGAAAUUCGUAGAUAUUGGGAGGAACACCUGUGGCGAAGGCGGCUACCUGGACCGAUACUGACGCUGAGGCGCGAAAGCCAGGGGAGCGAACGGG
Molecule: ribosomal RNA, 253 nt
Filed under: uncultured bacterium
Lineage: Bacteria
Description: partial 16S ribosomal RNA
Rfam family: Bacterial small subunit ribosomal RNA
Source: RNAcentral